GGAUGUGAGGGUGAUCUGGCUGUGACAUCUGUCCCUCCAUUGAUCUCCAGGGUUGAUUCCACUAAUCUCACUGGCUAGUUGGGUGUCCCUUCCUCCCUCACCACUCCAUGUGUAUCCCUUUGGAAGCUGUGAGCCCUGGGUAAAAGAGGACAACCUUCCCCUAUACAGGACUCUUCUUCCCAUUCUUGGUACUCAAUUAAGCUGUGCUUUGCUCCAAACAAGCUCUCAAGUUUAGGCUUCAUUACACACAUGAUAAAUUGUGU
RNAcentral lists this small nuclear RNA (263 nucleotides) under Castor canadensis (American beaver). Its description in RNAcentral is "7SK RNA (ENSCCNG00000026496.1)". It matches the Rfam family "7SK RNA". From Rfam's summary of the family: 7SK was discovered as an abundant small nuclear RNA in the mid-70s but a possible function has only recently been suggested. Two independent studies have found that 7SK RNA binds the CDK9/cyclin T complex (known as elongation factor P-TEFb). The record is from RNAcentral. Lineage: Eukaryota; Metazoa; Chordata; Mammalia; Rodentia; Castoridae.